This 535-nucleotide ribosomal RNA is filed under the name uncultured Colletotrichum. RNAcentral's name for it is "eukaryotic LSU rRNA". The stretch from base 161 to 314 matches the Rfam family "5.8S ribosomal RNA". Lineage: Eukaryota; Fungi; Ascomycota; Sordariomycetes; Glomerellales; Plectosphaerellaceae. The record is from RNAcentral.
UCUACAACCCUUUGUGAACAUACCUAUAACUGUUGCUUCGGCGGGUAGGGUCUCCGCGACCCUCCCGGCCUCCCGCCUCCGGGCGGGUCGGCGCCCGCCGGAGGAUAACCAAACUCUGAUUUAACGACGUUUCUUCUGAGUGGUACAAGCAAAUAAUCAAAACUUUUAACAACGGAUCUCUUGGUUCUGGCAUCGAUGAAGAACGCAGCGAAAUGCGAUAAGUAAUGUGAAUUGCAGAAUUCAGUGAAUCAUCGAAUCUUUGAACGCACAUUGCGCCCGCCAGCAUUCUGGCGGGCAUGCCUGUUCGAGCGUCAUUUCAACCCUCAAGCUCUGCUUGGUGUUGGGGCCCUACAGCUGAUGUAGGCCCUCAAAGGUAGUGGCGGACCCUCUCGGAGCCUCCUUUGCGUAGUAACUUUACGUCUCGCACUGGGAUCCGGAGGGACUCUUGCCGUAAAACCCCCAAUUUUCCAAAGGUUGACCUCGGAUCAGGUAGGAAUACCCGCUGAACUUAAGCUAAUCAAUAAGCCCGGAGGAA